Molecule: ribosomal RNA, 443 nt
Filed under: uncultured bacterium
Lineage: Bacteria
Description: partial 16S ribosomal RNA
Rfam family: Bacterial small subunit ribosomal RNA
Source: RNAcentral
CCUACGGGGGGCAGCAGUGGGGAAUCUUGGGCAAUGGGCGCAAGCCUGACCCCGCAACGCCGCGUGAAGGAAGAAGGCCCUCGGGUUGUAAACUUCUUUUAACAGGGACGAAGAAAGUGACGGUACAUGGUGAAUAAGCCACGGCUAACUACGUGCCAGCAGCCGCGGUAAUACGUAGGUGGCAAGCGUUAUACGGAUUUACUGGGAGUAAAGGGCGGGUAGGCGGGGGGGCAAGUCAGACGUGAAAUUCCAGGGCUCAACCCUGGAACGGCGUUUGAAACUGUUCUUCUUGAGUGAUGGAGAGGCAGGCGGAAUUCCGUGUGUAGCGGUGAAAUGCGUAGAUAUACGGAGGAACACCAGUGGCGAAGGCGGCCUGCUGGACAUUAACUGACGCUGAGGCGCGAAAGCGUGGGGAGCAAACAGGAUUAGAUACCCUUGUAGUC